UUUGGCAAACGCUGUAUUCUUGUAAUAUAGAGGAAAGUCCAUGCUCACACUAUCUGAGAUGAUAGUAGUGUUCGUGUUAAGGGAAAAAAUAACCUUAAGUAGUUUUUACUAACGGCUAUGAAAUAACCUAAAGUUUUCUAUGGUUAGAGUAAUUAUAAAAGUGCUAUAGUGAUGAAGAAUCUGGAAACGGAGGAAGUGGAACAUAGUAAACCCCACGAGUGAGAAACCCAAAUAUUGGUAGGGGAGCUUAGGAGAGAGAAACUGAAUCAAACCUAGGAUUUGAAAUAUAAUAGAUAAAUGUUUGCCACCUUUUAAAGGGACAGAACAUGGCUUAUAA
This 337-nucleotide RNase P RNA is filed under the name bovine gut metagenome. Its description in RNAcentral is "Bacterial RNase P class B". It matches the Rfam family "Bacterial RNase P class B". Rfam says of the family: Ribonuclease P (RNase P) is a ubiquitous endoribonuclease, found in archaea, bacteria and eukarya as well as chloroplasts and mitochondria. Its best characterised activity is the generation of mature 5'-ends of tRNAs by cleaving the 5'-leader elements of precursor-tRNAs. RNAcentral also lists the same sequence under 1 other name. The record is from RNAcentral.